RNAcentral lists this long non-coding RNA (294 nucleotides) under Capsella rubella. RNAcentral's name for it is "long non-coding RNA (CRUB_LNC000157)". The record is from RNAcentral. Lineage: Eukaryota; Viridiplantae; Streptophyta; Magnoliopsida; Brassicales; Brassicaceae.
CGAAAUGGGCUAAGAACCCACAACCAUUGCUUUCAAGCAUUAAAUGGCUUGUCUAGUAUUUUUAAGGUUAGAAUAUGUUAGAAUACAAUAAUUUUGAUUGAUUAAAAGUGCUAGAUAUUUAUUUAGAGUGUUUAGAUGUAUGGAGAAAGACUUGUUGAAAUUGGGUCCCAAAUGGGCUAAGAACUCGGAAACAUGGCGUUGAACCAAUAAAUGGCUUUUAUAGUGUUUUUGGGGUAAUAAUAUGUUAUAAUAAAAUCAAUUUGAUUGAUUACAAGUGCUAGAGAUGCAUGAAGA